Molecule: unclassified non-coding RNA, 369 nt
Filed under: Hevea brasiliensis (rubber tree)
Lineage: Eukaryota; Viridiplantae; Streptophyta; Magnoliopsida; Malpighiales; Euphorbiaceae
Source: RNAcentral
UUGCAGCACCGUUGCGACCAGACGCGUCUGAUAAGGAUUCAUUGUCCGCAGAGCGUUCAGAACCUUGCCAUAUUGAGUUCUGUCUGCAUCGACCACGACCAGGAUGAUUCCAACCACGGAAAGCAGGGACGCGAAGUCCUGACCGUCGAUGGCUCCCCCGUCGAUCAGGGUGGUGCCGUUGUAGGCAAGUGCGCAGCCAUUCUGCGUCGACAGUGCAGUUUGAGGUGAAGGUUCAGACUUGCUGCGCGCGCCGGCCGGAAGAACGCGAAGCUCGCCGACCUCGACUUCAAGCUCAUCCAAGGUAACCGGGCUUCGCAUCGCAUCGAAGAAGCCCGGCCUGCCUUCGAGGCCGAGCUGCUUCGAAAUUUG